RNAcentral lists this ribosomal RNA (460 nucleotides) under uncultured bacterium. RNAcentral describes it as "partial 16S ribosomal RNA". It matches the Rfam family "Bacterial small subunit ribosomal RNA", at positions 338 to 795 of the family's 1533-position model. The record is from RNAcentral.
CCUACGGGAGGCUGCAGUGAGGAAUAUUGGUCAAUGGGCGUAAGCCUGAACCAGCCAAGUCGCGUGAGGGAUGAAGGUUCUAUGGAUCGUAAACCUCUUUUAUCAGGGAAUAAAGUUCGGGGCGUGUCCCGUUUUGUAUGUACCUUAUGAAUAAGGAUAGGCUAACUCCGUGCCAGCAGCCGCGGUAAUACGGAGGAUCCGAGCGUUAUCCGGAUUUAUUGGGUUUAAAGGGUGAGUAGGCGGCGUUUUAAGUCAGCGGUGAAAGUCUGUGGCUCAACCAUAGAAUUGCAGUUGAAACUGGGAGGCUUGAGUAUGUUAGAGGGAGGCAGAAUGCGAGGUGUAGCGGUGAAAUGCGUAGAUAUGAGGCAGAACCCCGAUUGCGAAGGCAGCCUGCCAAGCCAUGACUGACGCUGAGGCACGAAAGCGUGGGGAUCAAACAGGAUUAGAUACCCGGGUAGUC